AUUGAACGCUGGCGGCAUGCCUUACACAUGCAAGUCGAACGGCAGCACGGGUGCUUGCACCUGGUGGCGAGUGGCAAACGGGUGAGUAAUACAUCGGAACAUGUCCUGUAGUGGGGGAUAGCCCGGCGAAAGCCGGAUUAAUACCGCAUACGAUCUACGGAUGAAAGCGGGGGACCUUCGGGCCUCGCGCUAUAGGGUUGGCCGAUGGCUGAUUAGCUAGUUGGUGGGGUAAAGGCCUACCAAGGCGACGAUCAGUAGCUGGUCUGAGAGGACGACCAGCCACACUGGGACUGAGACACGGCCCAGACUCCUACGGGAGGCAGCAGUGGGGAAUUUUGGACAAUGGGCGAAAGCCUUAUCCAGCAAUGCCGCGUGUGUGAAGAAGGCCUUCGGGUUGUAAAGCACUUUUGUCCGGAAAGAAAUCCUUGGCCCUAAUACGGUCGGGGGAUGACGGUACCGGAAGAAUAAGCACCGGCUAACUACGUG
RNAcentral lists this ribosomal RNA (486 nucleotides) under uncultured bacterium. Its description in RNAcentral is "partial 16S ribosomal RNA". It matches the Rfam family "Bacterial small subunit ribosomal RNA", at positions 30 to 507 of the family's 1533-position model. The record is from RNAcentral.